Long non-coding RNA from Ornithodoros turicata, 1128 nucleotides. RefSeq lists it as uncharacterized. The record is from RefSeq and is a predicted model, not a curated record. Lineage: Eukaryota; Metazoa; Arthropoda; Arachnida; Ixodida; Argasidae. The transcript has 2 exons.
GCCCCCCUGGAACUAUACUCCCCUCUCCUACCCCUGGCCAAUCGCCCGGUGUGGCUAAGGGCCAUCUCCUUUGUGGCUGAAGAAGAAGAAGAAGAAGAUGGAUGUGUUCUGCGUGAAAUGCGUGUGUUGAGAAGUAAACUUCUGUCACUUAUAGUUUUGAUUAUAGGAACCUACGUGCUCUUGCAACUCAACAUCUUGAAGCUCACAUUCGGCCAGCGCUAUUUUCUUCGUCCGGUCUCGGCCUCCACCGAACGCCCGGCCAACAUGGGUGGAGGGAACCCAUACCCCUAUAGCUUUGUUAUCAACGAGACCCAGCUAUGUAAAUCAGGGGACGUACCUGCCUAGACCACGGCUUCAAGAUGGCUUUAUUACAUGGACAUCCUGGAGACAACGCCAGCCAAUCCUUAAUUAUCGCGGAUGACGGCAUCUACUACCAGGACCUGAUCCAGGAAGCCUUUAGAGACACGUACAGGAACCUCACUCUCAAGUCCAUCAUGAUGGUACGUUGGCUAACCGAGCACUGCUCCCAGGCUCAGUUCGCAUUGAAGGUCGACGACGACAUUUUGCUGAACGCAUGGGGUUUAUGGGUAGAAGUCAAGACGUCGUUACGGCGCUUCACCAUGACGGCUUGGGGCAUUGUGGCGCAAGGUUACAAGCCGUACCGCGAUCCUUUAAACAAGUGUUACCUUCCCGGUACUAGAGCGAAAUCUUACCAACCUUCCUACGUGGACCGGCAUACCUUUUCACCGGAGAUUGUGCACCUGUGCUCUACAAUCACACUUUUACCGUACCAUACCUUCCGCUCGAAGGCGUCUACCUGACAGGGAUAGUGACAAAGAAGGCUGAAGCCCGUCUGGUACGUCAUUACAGGCUUCUUCGGUGAAAACAUAUCAUUCAGUCUGUGUUCCGAACCCCGGUGGAUUGCCAGGCACGGGUUCAAGCCUGUAAGGCUGCUGAAGGCGUGGGGCAGGUUGCCCGGGAAGAAUCGAAGCUUUCGAUGCAACAUAAAUGUGAAUGCAUAGCAGAGAUCGCGUGGCUGGUCUGAUACUUGACCACGCAAAGGAACCAUCUUUAUUGGGACUCCGACGAAUUAAGUGUUUCUUCCGAAUAAACUGCUCUGCUGCCUUA